GUUAGCCUACGGGAGGCAGCAGUGGGGAAUAUUGCACAAUGGGGGGAACCCUGAUGCAGCGACGCCGCGUGAGUGAAGAAGUAUUUCGGUAUGUAAAGCUCUGUCAGUAGGGAAGAAGAAAGACGGUACCUGACCAAGAACCCCCGGCUAACUACGUGCCAGCAGCCGCGGUACUACGUAGGGGGCAAGCGUUAUCCGUAUUUACUGGGUGUAGAGGGAGCGUAGCCGGCAGGGCAAGUCUGGAGUGAAAGGCAGGGGCCCAACCCCUGGACUGCUAUGGAAACUGUACGGCUGGAGUGCAGGAG
RNAcentral lists this ribosomal RNA (305 nucleotides) under uncultured bacterium. RNAcentral's name for it is "bacterial SSU rRNA". It matches the Rfam family "Bacterial small subunit ribosomal RNA", at positions 333 to 654 of the family's 1533-position model. The record is from RNAcentral.